UACAUGUUAUAAUUUAUACCAAAACGACUUACUGUGGUAAUGGGAUCACGACUUAGCUUCUGUCUGAAAACUUAAGACGAUAAGUGAACAGAAUCUACAGACUGAGACUGUUUAGUCGAGGGAACAAAGGCAGCAAUUCAUAAAACCCACCCGUUAAUGCAUGUUAUAUACCAAUAACUGAUGAUUUACCGUGUUCAUCGGAUCUCGACUUCUGUCUGAAAACUUUAGACGAUGUGCGAAGAGAAUCUACAGACUGAGACUGUUUAGCCAAGGGUACAAAGGCCGCAGUUCAUAUAACACAUCAUCAAUGCACGUUAUAUACCAAUAAUUGCCGGAUGAUACACCGUGCGGGGUAAGUGUUCAUCAAAUUACGACUUCUGUCUGAAAACUUUAGACGAUAUGCGAACAGAAUCUACAGACUGAGACUGUUUAGCCAAAGAGAUAAAAGCUGCAAUACAUAUAAUACACCAAUGAAUAAAGGCUCUGAGUAGCUUAUCAAAACUGGUCAUCGAAAGGAAAGUUCGAAGAGAGUGAAAGGAAUUAAUCAGUUGUUGCUGUCCGGCGUUACUACAAAAUCUACAUCAAGACACGCACAGACUGCAUACACUCUUUUCUUUUUAUAAAAAUACAUUUUAUAAGAAAAUCGAGGCAGAAAUUCGCUGAAAAAAAAAUAAUUUUUGUGUUGAAAAUUGGUAGAUACAGUACAAUUACGUAUGUUUUUAAGUGAACCGUAUAAAAAUAUUCCUUUCUCAAAACGGCAAAACUAGCCAAAAACAGCUCUGGCCGUAUGUUCUAUGUUCGAGGCUAAUAACAUUAUUUUGUGCGACAAGUUGUGGGUGCGAUAUCAGGCUUCAUUGCCUGCAGUCUGGCUCCAAAAUUACUUCAACGCAAUCGAAGUCAUGUCAGGACACAUAAUCUGACGUUGUGUCAGUAUAGUAAUCCAAGAAUAUUCACAAGGAAAAUUUCAGCCUAAAAUCGGCAGAAAAAUAAGAAUAUUCAGCCUGGGUCGGAAAAACAAUAUUCUCAUAAAAAAGAAUGUAUAUGGCAUCCCUGUGGACAGCUCCAGAAACCGGGAUAAGCUCCGGCAGCUAUGAGUCUGUCAGCUCCAAGGCUUCACUCUUGGACAGCUCCACUGUUCCUAGACUUUUUACCUAACAAACGAAAAAUUCAUGUUGAAUAAAACCUUGGAUUAUCAAGAUUCGUGUCAUUCAUGAAGGAAAUAAAGUGCUGAAGCUGAGAUUACUGAGAGCUUGAUCGUAUGAUGUCUGGGUGGAGAAGACUACAUGUGCAUGGAGUGAGAUAGGUAAGAUAGGAUUGGCGUUGGAGAGGUCAAAACGUUUGGAAUGAAGAAGUAAAAUUUACUAUGUAGUGUUCAUAAGGUGUUCCAAAAUUCACCUUGAAUUUUCAAGAUUGCGCACCUUCUUAAAAGAUGAUGCACUAGACUUUUAAUGGUGAUCGAGAGGAUGGUUGAGCCAAACAUGUUUGAGUGAAAUUUGUGACUUAGUUAUUUCGAAUUUUCUCCACAUUUAGUUUAGGAAAUUAAAUCUUGAAGAGCCAGGUUGUGGUAUUUCUCCCAUUAGUGACUAGCUAGCUAUAAUUCAUGCAUGCUUUACCGACGGAACCUUGACCUUCUCCCUUUCACACGGGAGCACAUUGUCUCCCAUCUUCGUGAACCAAUCCUGAAACAAAAUCCCUAAGCAUGCACUGUCAUAUAUCUAGUAUCGUUUAGUAUGCUUAGUUAUCACAUGGUCUUAAGUGCCAGAUUUAUACAACACUCAAAGAAUGCUGUUUGCAAAAAGGAUAGAAAUAUAACGAUGCUUAGAUUUGACCUGGAUGCGACAGCGAUGUUAAAAACGCGCGCCGUUUAUUUUGAUCAGUAUUCAGACUUGAGUUGCCCGGCUUCGCGAAUCUCCUGCAGUUCAGCGGAAGAGAAUUUGGUCGACGAAAGGGAAUGUAUCACAAAAAAGGACAGAGGUUAAAGGAUAGUCGAUCGACAUCAGUGGGGAGAGAUCUAAGAAGCAAGGUGCUGUUUGGCUCAGACGCUAAUGUCCGACGUGUUACAGUACAGAGCGAGAAGUGAAUUCAGUCAUCCCUUGCCUUUUGAACUUUCCUCUCCAUACAAGAAGGAUAUUCAGAUUUACAUUUGCGGCAGGUACAGAGAUACUUUCACCAAUAAAUCGUCAAAUUUAAAGAUACUUUGAAACAACGUUAUAUCAGAUUUGUAACCUGUUGGAGGCUUUGUAGAGUGGUCAUGCCUUACACUUAUCAAUGUCGUGCAGUUAUUAACCGGCCAGAAAUAACUGAAUUUUGUUCAUAAACCUCACAAUCCAAAAUGCGCUAAUGGACGAAGCUUCUUUGGCGAAAUAAUAAAACGUAAUUUCCAUUUACUUUUAAACGCGUAUUGUAUGGCGAUAUCGCCCCCUCCAGUGUUUUAGGCAAUAAUUAUCACGCUUUCACAAACAGAACACACGACUAAAAUAAUUACAUUACAGACUCAGUCAUCUGUAAUCUACUGACCAUUAAAGUCAGCCUUACAUUCAACAACUUCAAUUUCGUAAUUUGCAAGGUUUAUUUCCUAUUAUACUCAAAAGGCGGUAGCUAUCGUAAUUUCAAUUGAUCUUGGACCGACCUUCGCUUAAUUUAGACGCGAAUUGUAUGUCCAACGGGGUUGGUUAUGUAAUAAUGUUUUUUUUAUAAAACUCGGUGGAAUAAUUCAUUUCACCUAGUUGUGCACUGAAUACUUGUAUAACUGCAGAAAAUGAAAUUUCUUAGACGUUUUCGCUUUUUCCUCCUUUGAUCCCUCGUGGGGCUUUUAACAAAAGAAGACUGAAACCCUUGAACGCACUUCUAUUCACCGAAAUUUUUCAGCGCUAGAUUUAGAAACUCUCAGUGUUGCCUAAAGCGACACGCUAUUUGGAAGUACUUAGCUAGCACGAUAUGCUACCUGAAAAAAAUAAGCUUAGUGAAAAAGGCUUGAAAUUGAUUAGGAAGUUGCGUCUGUUUCCUGCCCGAUUACUGUUUGGUUUAUGCUUUUCUGAAAUUCUUUUUGUCCGUUUUUUCCGGACCACGCAAACACCAAGCAACUAUAAAUAACACUACACAGGUUCCAUUCUACUCUACAAUCGUUAUUCCUACUCAUAAGCACGCUUUUCACUGAUAAUCUCUAUAGGUCUGAAAAUGGUGGUCACAUUUUCACUAGGAAUUCUUUUAUGUAUUGCAGGAACAUCCUUAGUAACUGCUCAAGGGAAUUUGCCAGUCGAUCCUCAAGACACAUCAGAAAAGGACACCGAUCCAACUGCUUCUGGAAGCCCAGACAAUCUCGAUCAACUAUAUCACACUUUGCACAGAUGGCAUGUUGCUCCACCCCCUGGCAAAAGAUCAGCGAUCGAGAGUAGCCUUGGAGCACGGAAUUUUAUCAGGGGGGGAAAUAUGUGGAAACUACUAAACCACCAGAGAUUCGAUGAAGAUUACUGAGCCGUUCGUCAAAAAUGAUCAAAUUUUAAACACACGUAGGACUUAAAGUUAAAAUAAAUUGACAAUUACAGAGAGACCGAGCUAACACUGCUGUAGUAUUUUGUUACAUGAGAUAAAUAAAAAAUUAGGUAUACAAAACCCUGAAA
This 3620-nucleotide long non-coding RNA is filed under the name Orbicella faveolata. RNAcentral's name for it is "uncharacterized LOC110069062, transcript variant X2". The record is from RNAcentral. Lineage: Eukaryota; Metazoa; Cnidaria; Anthozoa; Scleractinia; Merulinidae.